This is a non-coding RNA of Armillaria mellea, 92 nucleotides long. The record is from the annotation of a GenBank genome assembly. Lineage: Eukaryota; Fungi; Basidiomycota; Agaricomycetes; Agaricales; Physalacriaceae.
GUACAUAUGGUGUAGAUGGUUUAUCACGUCCUGCUUAACAUUUGUAGUAGGCGUAGAUAUUGCGGUGUUGGGUUCAAGUCCCAAUGUGUCCA